RNAcentral lists this unclassified non-coding RNA (220 nucleotides) under plant metagenome. Its description in RNAcentral is "partial contains small subunit ribosomal RNA, internal transcribed spacer 1, and 5.8S ribosomal RNA". The record is from RNAcentral.
UUUCCGUAGGUGAACCUGCGGAAGGAUCAUUACAGAGUUCAUGCCCUCACGGGUAGAUCUCCCACCCUUGAAUAUUUAUACCUUAGUUGCUUUGGCAGGCCGUGGAAACACCAUGGGCUCCGGCUUAUGCGUGCCUGCCAGAGGAAACAAACUCUGUUUUUAGUGAUGUCUGAGUAUUAUAUAAUAGUUAAAACUUUCAACAACGGAUCUCUUGGUUCUG